AUAAAGGCGGAAAGGCAACUCCAGAGGUCACUCUGAGCUCCAGGCAGAAGCCCCACGUGCCAGGCCCCAUCUGCACCAGGCACCCACACUGUGCACCCCC
This is a non-coding RNA of Ceratotherium simum simum (southern white rhinoceros), 100 nucleotides long. Lineage: Eukaryota; Metazoa; Chordata; Mammalia; Perissodactyla; Rhinocerotidae. The record is from RefSeq and is a predicted model, not a curated record.